UACGUAGGGGGCAAGCGUUAUCCGGAUUUACUGGGUGUAAAGGGAGCGUAGACGGAAUGGCAAGUCUGAUGUGAAAGGCGGGGGCUCAACCCCUGGACUGCAUUGGAAACUGCCAGUCUUGAGUACCGGAGGGGUAAGCGGAAUUCCUAGUGUAGCGGUGAAAUGCGUAGAUAUUAGGAGGAACACCAGUGGCGAAGGCGGCUUACUGGACGGUAACUGACGUUGAGGCUCGAAAGCGUGGGGAGCAAACAGG
Molecule: ribosomal RNA, 253 nt
Filed under: uncultured bacterium
Lineage: Bacteria
Description: partial 16S ribosomal RNA
Rfam family: Bacterial small subunit ribosomal RNA
Source: RNAcentral